RNAcentral lists this long non-coding RNA (1266 nucleotides) under Equus asinus (donkey). RNAcentral describes it as "lncRNA (ENSEASG00005025444.1)". Lineage: Eukaryota; Metazoa; Chordata; Mammalia; Perissodactyla; Equidae. The record is from RNAcentral.
AGAAUUUUUACUGCCAGUGAAGAGCACAUUCUCUUCCAUCAUGCCUCUUCUCUCCAAGGUCUUCCUAGGGAAGGAUGGGCUGACGGAAGCGUCGUUCCGAAGUGGUCCAGUGCGCAGAGUCCGGGCUUCUCCUGGAAUAUUUGCCGGUGUCUCUUCUGGGUCAAAGCAACUCCACAGGAUAUUCCUGUUGAUCCCUGAGGAGUAGUGGGAGAGACACCAACUUGGCCAGCUCCAUGAGCCGCACUCAACAUAGGCCCCUCAUGGAGGAGCGGGGAUUCAAGGCUUCUGAGCCGGGCCCCUCAAAUGGCUGAGGCAAGAGAACCAGCUAGGGAACCUCCUGCUGCCUCAGGUUCUCUCCUCCUGUUGUUUGAGAACGUGGAUCCAAUUUUCUCCCCAGCACUGGAGAGGCGUCUCAGUCAUUUCUGCUGGUUGGGAAAGGCUUAUUGUGCCCAGGAAUGCAGCUGGUGUGCAGAAGGUGAGUGAAGGGUAAAUGGGGUGAGAGGCAAGAAGCAGCCGGCUAGCCCAGACAUGGAGCUGGCGCUGGACACAGAGCUUCCCAGAGAAGCCAGGCGUCAGGCUUCUUGUUCCUGGAAAGGGUACCUCCUUCUGACCUGACCCCAAAGAGCCAGCAUGCAGGGGCUGCUGUGACCAUACUCUCCGUGGGGUCCCCACGUAUGAACACACCCAUGGCCAGCUGCGGGUUAGUAGCAUUUGGAGAGAAAGAAGGUAUCACGCAAAAAGCAGGGCUUCUCCAUACGCUUGGUCAGGAAAGAAAAAAGCCAGGAAUACAGAAGUGGAGACUGCCGAAUGUGGCACACCAAAGUAUGCUGUCCUGGGCCUGGGUUGGCAGAGAGCAAUGAGGCAACAUGGAAGAGACAUCAAGAACCAGAGAAUAUCUGGUGAGAGCGCAAACUCAGUCCUCUGCUAGCAUUAAUUCCACAGCCAAAUCUCCCACAUGCAGGGAAACAGCAUGGGUCAGCACAGCCGGCCAGAGGAAAACGACUUUUGUGGGCGAGUUAUCUCUUCAACCAGAUCUUCGGAGCAAGUGUGCAGUGCCUGGUAGAGUCCACAGAGGUUUAAAAAAAAAACAAAACAGCAGUUGGAGAAGUUGUGGCAUUUGCCUGGAACAUCAUUGUUUUGAUAUUCUGGUAUUGAUUUUUACACCUACCUUCUGCUUAUGGAACUGAUACUGGUUUUCCAUUUGUGGUAGUGGGAUGAAUUAAAAAGUCAAACUACUCAGGAAAAAGAAUAUGAAUCGAUUGAAAG